GCCCUCGCCCAGGACCCCUCGUGAGGGCAGAACUCGCGCAUCGCCCAGGAC
This 51-nucleotide non-coding RNA is filed under the name Heterosigma akashiwo. Lineage: Eukaryota; Raphidophyceae; Chattonellales; Chattonellaceae. The record is from RNAcentral.